CCUACCCCUAGAGGCUUUGCAGGUGUAGUAACUGUGUCACAUGUGUGUCUGUAAGUGCCAGAGAGGAGAGGGGCUAUGUUUACUAUCAGUACUCUGACGUACGAACAUCUUAAUGAUUAGUAGCCUGAUAUU
This is a small nucleolar RNA of Acomys russatus (golden spiny mouse), 132 nucleotides long. RefSeq annotates it as small nucleolar RNA SNORA17. NCBI's taxonomy places the organism in Eukaryota, Metazoa, Chordata, Mammalia, Rodentia, Muridae. The transcript has a single exon. The record is from RefSeq and is a predicted model, not a curated record.